GAUGAACGCUAGCGGCAGGCCUAAUACAUGCAAGUCGAGGGAGAAUGUUGGAUUCGUCUGACAUGAAACCGGCGCACGGGUGCGUAACACGUAUGCAACCUACCUUUAACUGGGGUAUAGCUCAGAGAAAUCUGAAUUAAUCCCCCAUAAGACUACGACAUGGCAUCAUGAUGUAGUUAAAGCUCCGGCGGUUAAGGAUGGGCAUGCGGUACAUUAGCUAGUUGGUGAGGUAAUGGCUCACCAAGGCUACGAUGUAUAGGGGGUCUGAGAGGAUGAUCCCCCACACUGGUACUGAGACACGGACCAGACUCCUACGGGAGGCAGCAGUAGGGAAUAUUGGUCAAUGGACGCAAGUCUGAACCAGCCAUGCCGCGUGAAGGAUGAAGGCCCUAUGGGUCGCAAACUUCUUUUAUUAGGGAAGAAAAAACGGGAUGCGUCUUGUACUGACGGUACUUAAUGAAUAAGGAUCAGCUAACUUCGUGCCAGCCGCCGCAGUAA
This 498-nucleotide ribosomal RNA is filed under the name uncultured bacterium. RNAcentral describes it as "partial 16S ribosomal RNA". It matches the Rfam family "Bacterial small subunit ribosomal RNA", at positions 28 to 523 of the family's 1533-position model. The record is from RNAcentral.